GUCAAUAUAUCGAAACGAGAGAACAAAUUCAAUGUACAUUUAAAAAUAAAUGUUGCGCGAACUCAUAAAACAAAAACAAACCAAUAAAAGUUCAAAGAUUGAUUUCGAAUAUUAGAGAAGAUUACCAUAUUGUCUAUUCAAGGAAGUUGAAGCUUUACGAGGCGGGCGGCUCCUUAUUUGCGCAAUAAUGUCUCGUUAUUACCAUCCCGCAAUCUCGUCAAAGUUACCGAUCGAUACUUUAUGUUCUUUGCCUUGUAAACGAAAGAUUACAUUUCGUUUUUGACAACAGGUAUACGUUUUGUUUAUUACAUUUGUAAGUAAAGAGCAUACUGCUCUUAAUCGUCAGCAAUGGCAUUUUUUUAUUUUUUUUACCUACCUACCUAUGCAGAUAGCCUUGAGAGGCUAUUUCAGCUUCGCCCUAACGUUUGUAGGUGAGCUCACGGGGCUCAAACCUGACUACGAUGCUAACACGAACCCUAGCAAGAGCCGUGCUUCGCAGAAUCUGCCACCGGAUCGGAAACGCGACCCGCUGAGAAGAUCCGGCGAGAAACUCAGUGGGCUAGCAAUGAACAGCUAAGCCGCUGUCAAAAAUAAAUAAUUAUAAAAUAAUAAUAAUAUGUAUUGCCAAAUCCCAAA
Long non-coding RNA from Bombyx mori (domestic silkworm), 636 nucleotides. RefSeq lists it as uncharacterized. NCBI's taxonomy places the organism in Eukaryota, Metazoa, Arthropoda, Insecta, Lepidoptera, Bombycidae. The record is from RefSeq and is a predicted model, not a curated record. The transcript has 2 exons.